AAUCUUCCGCAAUGGACGAAAGUCUGACGGAGCACGCCCCGUGAACGAAGAAGGCCUUCGGGUCGUAAAGUUCUGUUGUUAGGGAAGAACAAGUACCAGAGUAACUGCUGGGACCUUGGGGGGUCCCUACCGGAAAGCCCCGGGUGACUACGGGCC
Molecule: ribosomal RNA, 156 nt
Filed under: bacterium SM15.1-L.59
Lineage: Bacteria
Description: partial 16S ribosomal RNA
Rfam family: Bacterial small subunit ribosomal RNA
Source: RNAcentral